This 447-nucleotide ribosomal RNA is filed under the name uncultured bacterium. RNAcentral describes it as "partial 16S ribosomal RNA". It matches the Rfam family "Bacterial small subunit ribosomal RNA", at positions 29 to 523 of the family's 1533-position model. The record is from RNAcentral.
AACGAACGCUGGCGGCAGGCUUAACACAUGCAAGUCGAACGCAUCGCAAGAUGAGUGGCAGACGGGUGAGUAACGCGUGGGAACAUACCCUUUUCUACGGAAUAGCUCUGGGAAACUGGAAUUAAUACCGUAUACGCCCUACGGGGGAAAGAUUUAUCGGGGAAGGAUUGGCCCGCGUUGGAUUAGCUAGUUGGUGGGGUAAAGGCCUACCAAGGCGACGAUCCAUAGCUGGUCUGAGAGGAUGAUCAGCCACAUUGGGACUGAGACACGGCCCAAACUCCUACGGGAGGCAGCAGUGGGGAAUAUUGGACAAUGGGCGCAAGCCUGAUCCAGCCAUGCCGCGUGAGUGAUGAAGGCCUUAGGGUUGUAAAGCUCUUUCACCGAUGAAGAUAAUGACGGUAGUCGGAGAAGAAGCCCCGGCUAACUUCGUGCCAGCAGCCGCCGCCG